Molecule: ribosomal RNA, 791 nt
Filed under: uncultured soil archaeon
Lineage: Archaea
Description: bacterial SSU rRNA
Rfam family: Archaeal small subunit ribosomal RNA
Source: RNAcentral
CAUAUACGGCUCAGUAACACGUGGCUAACCUGCCCUUGAGACGAGGAUAACCCUGGAAACCUGGGGAUAAUCCGCGAUAGAUGGAAACGCCUGGAAUGGUCUUCCGUCUAAAAGGUGUUAGGGUCAUGCUUCCUAGUACCGCUCAAGGAUGGGGCCGCGACUGAUCAGGUUGUUGGCGGGGAAAAGGCCCACCAAGCCUAUAACCAGUACGGGCCAUGAUAGUGGAAGCCCGGAGAUGGGCACUGAGAUAAGGGCCCAGGCCCUACGGGGCGCAGCAGGCGCGAAACCUUCGCAAUGCGCGAAAGCGUGACGAGGUUAGCCCGAGUGCCGUCCGCUGAGGAUGGCUUUUCUUUGGUUUAAGGAGCCAGGGGAAUAAGAGGAGGGUAAGUCUGGUGUCAGCCGCCGCGGUAAUACCAGCUUCUCGAGUGGUGGGGGCGAUUAUUGGGCCUAAAGCGUCCGUAGCCCGCUUUUUAAGUCCUUCGUUAAAUCCGGCGAUUUAAUCGUUGGUUCGCGGAGGAUACUGUAAAGCUAGGGGGCGGAAGAGACUGGCGGUAUUCUUAGGGUAGGGGUGAAAUCCUAUAAUCCUAGGAGGACCACCAGUGGCGAAGGCGGCCAGCUAGAACGCGCCCGACGGUGAGGGACGAAAGCUGGGGGAGCAAACCGGAUUAGAUACCCGGGUAGUCCCAGCUGUAAACGAUGCAGACUAGGUGUUGGAACGGCUACGCGCCGCUUCAGUGCCGCAGAGAAGUCAUUAAGUCUGCCGCCUGGGGAGUUAGUCCGCAGGGCUGAAC